AAGGAAGUCCCGCCCCCAUUCUAGACCCCGCCCUUAAUUCGCUGCGCGGGGCGGGCUUUCGCAGUCCGGGUACCGAGAGCGCGGACGGUGGGUGCAAUGGGUUGCGCGGGUAGGUCCUCCUCUCGGGCUUAGGGAGCGGGAGCAACAGGUGGAGCCCGCCGUACCUCCUCUGAAGGGGCUCUGUUCUACCUCAUGUAUGGGAACGUAAGUUCUUGUAUUCUUGCUUUGGUUUUAGCGUAGGGGCUGUUUACGUACUAGCUGUGUGCCUGAAGCCUCGCAAACGUUUUAGCAUUUAAUUUACAACUCAACCAGCCUGUAUUGGAGGUGUUGUUUUCCGCAGGUUUUCAUGCCUCGCCUGUUGCUCACUGAUGGUUGGGGAAGGUCUGGCUGCCUCCAAUAAUCAAGCUAAACUGGGUCCUUUGUUAUAUGCAGAGAAAUCAGCUUCACGGUAGUUAAUCUUUUUUUCGAUGUGGGGACCACCAGACCAUCUGGGAAACCUUUCCCACGCACUGUCUCUAUGUCCGGUGACUUUGGGAAGUCCUAAAGGACAACGGGGGAAUUCACCAAGCUUAGGUCGAGUGAGCCUCCCCACCACCCCGGAGCCAGCAUGGGACACAGCUGAACUCAUUUCUUGGAGGAACUUGCCAGUGUGUCCCCAAGAGCCUGGGUGGCAUAGUCUGUGCCCAACUGGUGCCUGAAGCCUACGGGGACUGCACUUCCUGUGCUCCGGACUUCCUCAUAGGUUGUCUUUCUAGCUGUCUUCUAGUGACAGGAAAUUCAGAGAAACCAACAGGCCUGUUUCUCCAGGAGGGGGAUGUCCCUCAUGCCCUGAAUUCUGCCAGGAAAGUAGACUGGAUACCAAGUGACGUGGAGGAGGGGCUCCUGCAACCUUGCUGUGAAAACCUCUCCCCUCUGUGUCCCAUGGACGUGUCACCCAGUAUCCCAGGGGAAACUGGAGCAGUUUUUGCUGAGCUGUUUGGGGCUGUUGUCCUAAAGCUAAGCAGGGGUGGGGGUGGGGGACAGACAGGUCCUAGGUCUGGUCCCUCAUGUCCUUGUAUUGCACAAGGGACAAAGCCUCAUUUCCCAGGACAUUCAAGCAUAUUCCAAGCAGAGGCCUCUUCCACCCCUGAUUCUGCCCCUUCUUUCAUUUCCUGCCCCUCCUUUUCCCCCCAGCUUCACACUGAGAUUCUCACUUUCCCCUUUUUUCUCCUUAUUCAUUCUUUCAUUCAAAACACAUUUACUGGGACUUCCCUGGCGGUCCAGUGGAUAGGACUUCGCCUUCCAAUGCAGGGAGUGCAGGUUCGAUCCCUGGUCGGGGAGAUAAGAUCCCACAUGCCUCACGGUCAGAAAACCAAAACACAAAACAGAAGAAAUAGUGUAAUAAAUUCAUUAAAGACUUUAAAAAUGGUCCACAUCAAAAAAAAUCUUAAAAAAAAAUAUUUACUGAGCUCCUGACCCAGGGGAAGACGACAGACAAAUCUACACUUUUCAUGAGACUUAUUCCACUAGGGGUAAGGAACAGAAAGAAGUAAGUGUAAUAAUAGCACCUAUUUUGUGAGUGCCUAUGUGCGUCCAAACUAAGGCACAUCAAGGGUAAUUCACUUGCCAAAGGUCACAACUAAGGAUUCCAACCCAGGCACUGGUCAGAGAUCAUGCUGUUAACCAGCAACCCAUACUGCCUCCUUGGUUAUUACAGAUAUGAGAUUAGGGCUCUGUGCCAUUUGUCAGCCAAGGUAAAAUGUUUUGUGCUACGAAUUUGUAAAUCAUGGCAGGCAGGGGAAGGACAAUCUCAUAUAAAAUAAAGUUCACAAGAAUUGCAGUCGAGUUUUAUGAAAAGGAGGACUAUGGAUUUCUCACAUAUCCAAGAAGGGAUUUUGAAAGGGAAAAUAAUGCUCCCGCGGAAGACUCACCCACGCAGGCCUCACCCUUGCAUUAGCGUGCAAAGGUGAGUUCUACCUGGCACCAAGCCUGGGAAGAGAUAGAUUCACUUCCUCCUUGGACUUUUGGGCUUAGACGUCAUCCAGCAUGGAGGGGAUGGAAAAAGAGAUGCCAUGCAAAUGGAAAUCAGAAGAAAGCUGGAGUAGCAAUUCUCAUAUCAGACAAAAUAGACUUUAAAAUAAAGACUCUUCCAAGAGACAAAGAAGAACACUGCAUAAUGACUGAGGGAUCAGUCCUAGAUGAAGAUAUAACAAUUGUAAAUAUUUAUGCCCCCAACAUAGGGGCAACUCAAUACAUAAGGCAAAUGCUAAGGGCCAUGAAAGGGGAAGCUGACAGUAACACAGUCACAGUAGGGGACGUUAACACCCAGCUGGCGUCCUCGGCAGCCUCACUACCUGCAGAACUUCUGACACUGCUCUUCUUUCCCAGAUAGUGACCUCGCAGGGUAGGCAGGGCCGUAGGAGGUGGGGGAGGGGAGAGAGCAACAGGACUCCACUCACUGUAUCCCUCUCUGCUUCCAUCCAGGGCUGCUGUCACUGUGACCAGAGAAAGAUAGUGGUGUCCUUGGCUCUGCACCUAGUGUUCCCACACUGCCUCCAAGAUGUCAGCUAAAGCCAUAGAGAGCGGGGGAGGAGAUGCCACUGACCCCUUCCGGCCGGAAUCCCCCUCUGAUGAGGAGGAUGAACCUUCCCAGUCAUCCAACCAGGCCUCUGAUGGUUCUCCUGGCAAGCCACCACAGGGGCCACCGCAGGGGCC
Long non-coding RNA from Balaenoptera acutorostrata (minke whale), 2694 nucleotides. RefSeq lists it as uncharacterized. The transcript has 4 exons. The record is from RefSeq and is a predicted model, not a curated record. Lineage: Eukaryota; Metazoa; Chordata; Mammalia; Artiodactyla; Balaenopteridae.